AUUUGGAAGUCCAAGAUUCCACUAAAAGUGAAAAUCUUUAUGUGGUAUAUUCGUAGGGGAGUUGUGUUAACGAAAGACAACCUCGCACGGCGCAACUGGCCAGGGAGUAAGAAGUGUUGUUUCUGUACUCAUGACGAGACAAUCAAACACCUCUUCUUUCAAUGCAAGUUUGCACGUUCUACGUGGUCAGUCAUCCAAAUAGCGUCAAAUUUAUAUCCGCCCAUAAAUGUUGGCAAUAUUUUUGGUCAUUGGUUGGACGGAAUACCAAAUAGGUUCAAAACGCUAAUAAGGAUGGGAGCAUAUGCCUUAAUUUGGUCGCUUUGGCUAUGUAGAAACGAUUUGAUUUUUAAUGACAAAAAUGCUUCUCCUCUACAAGUUAUUUUCCGGUGUACACACUCGCUACGUACAUAG
RNAcentral lists this ribosomal RNA (411 nucleotides) under Triticum aestivum (bread wheat). RNAcentral's name for it is "partial small subunit ribosomal RNA". The record is from RNAcentral. Lineage: Eukaryota; Viridiplantae; Streptophyta; Magnoliopsida; Poales; Poaceae.